UACGGAGGGUGCGAGCGUUGUCCGGAAUCACUGGGCGUAAAGGGCGCGUAGGCGGCGCGGAUAGUCGGCGGUGAAAGCCCGGAGCUCAACUCCGGGUCGGCCGUCGAUACUUCCGGGCUUGAGCACUGUAGAGGCAGAUGGAAUUCCGGGUGUAGCGGUGGAAUGCGUAGAGAUCCGGAAGAACACCGGUGGCGAAGGCGGUCUGCUGGGCAGUUGCUGACGCUGAUGCGCGACAGCGUGGGGAGCAAACGAGG
RNAcentral lists this ribosomal RNA (254 nucleotides) under uncultured bacterium. RNAcentral's name for it is "partial 16S ribosomal RNA". It matches the Rfam family "Bacterial small subunit ribosomal RNA", at positions 524 to 777 of the family's 1533-position model. The record is from RNAcentral.